RNAcentral lists this ribosomal RNA (490 nucleotides) under uncultured bacterium. Its description in RNAcentral is "partial 16S ribosomal RNA". It matches the Rfam family "Bacterial small subunit ribosomal RNA", at positions 28 to 507 of the family's 1533-position model. The record is from RNAcentral.
GAUGAACGCUAGCGAUAGGCUUAACACAUGCAAGUCGAGGGGCAGCAUGGUCUUAGCUUGCUAAGACUGAUGGCGACCGGCGCACGGGUGCGUAACGCGUAUGCAACUUGCCUCACAGAGGGGGAUAACCCGUCGAAAGACGGACUAAUACCGCGUACACUUGGGAUAGGGCAUCCUGACCCAAGGAAAUGAAAUUCGCUGUGAGAUAGGCAUGCGUCCCAUUAGCUAGUUGGUGAGGUAACGGCUCACCAAGGCGACGAUGGGUAGGGGAACUGAGAGGCUGAACCCCCACACUGGUACUGAGACACGGACCAGACUUCUACGGGAGGCAGCAGUGAGGAAUAUUGGUCAAUGGGCGAGAGCCUGAACCAGCCAAGUCGCGUGAAGGAUGACUGUCUUAUGGAUUGUAAACUUCUUUUAUACGGGAAUAACAAGAGCCACGUGUGGCUCCCUGCAUGUACCGUAUGAAUAAGCAUCGGCUAACUCCGUG